UACAGAGGUGCCGAGCGUUAUGCGGAAUCACUGGGCUUAAAGCGUGUGUAGGCGGAUCUGUAAGUACCUUGUGAAAUCCCACGGCUCAACCGUGGAACUGCUUGGUAUACUGCGGGUCUUGAGCCACCUAGGGGCAAGUGGAACAAACGGUGGAGCGGUGAAAUGCGUAGAUAUCGUUUGGAACGCCAAUGGUGAAAACAACUUGCUGGGGGUGUGCUGACGCUGAGACACGAAAGCCAGGGGAGCAAACGGG
RNAcentral lists this ribosomal RNA (253 nucleotides) under uncultured bacterium. Its description in RNAcentral is "partial 16S ribosomal RNA". It matches the Rfam family "Bacterial small subunit ribosomal RNA", at positions 524 to 776 of the family's 1533-position model. The record is from RNAcentral.